GAGGAAUAUUGGUCAAUGGACGAGAGUCUGAACCAGCCAAGUAGCGUGCAGGAUGACGGCCCUCUGGGUUGUAAACUGCUUUUAGUUGGGAACAAAAAAGGCGACGUGUCGCCUCUGGAGUGUACCAUCAGAAAAAGGACCGGCUAAUUCCGUGCCAGCAGCCGCGGUAAUACGGAAGGUCCAGGCGUUAUCCGGAUUUAUUGGGUUUAAAGGGAGCGUAGGCGGACGAUUAAGUCAGCUGUGAAAGUUUGCGGCUCAACCGUAAAAUUGCAGUUGAAACUGGUUGUCUUGAGUGCACGCAGGGAUGUUGGAAUUCAUGGUGUAGCGGUGAAAUGCUUAGAUAUCAUGAAGAACUCCGAUCGCGAAGGCAUAUGUCCGGAGUGCAACUGACGCUGAGGCUCGAAAGUGCGGGUAUCGAACAGGAUUAGAUACCCUGGUAGUCCGCACAGUAAACGAUGAAUACUCGCAGUAUGCGAUAUAUUGUAUGCUGCCAAGUGAAAACGUUAAGUAUUCCACCUGGGGAGUACGCCGGCAACGGUG
Molecule: ribosomal RNA, 540 nt
Filed under: uncultured bacterium
Lineage: Bacteria
Description: bacterial SSU rRNA
Rfam family: Bacterial small subunit ribosomal RNA
Source: RNAcentral